GUGGGGAAUCUUGCGCAAUGGGCGAAAGCCUGACGCAGCCAUGCCGCGUGAAUGAUGAAGGUCUUAGGAUUGUAAAAUUCUUUCACCGGGGACGAUAAUGACGGUACCCGGAGAAGAAGCUCCGGCUAACUUCGUGCCAGCAGCCGCGGUAAUACGAAGGGGGCUAGCGUUGCUCGGAAUUACUGGGCGUAAAGGGCGCGUAGGCGGACAUUUAAGUCAGGGGUGAAAUCCCGGGGCUCAACCUCGGAACUGCCUUUGAUACUGGGUGUCUUGAGUAUGAGAGAGGUGUGUGGAACUCCGAGUGUAGAGGUGAAAUUCGUAGAUAUUCGGAAGAACACCAGUGGCGAAGGCGACACACUGGCUCAUUACUGACGCUGAGGCGCGAAAGCGUGGGGAGCAAACAGGAUUAGAAACCCCAGUAGUCC
RNAcentral lists this ribosomal RNA (425 nucleotides) under uncultured bacterium. Its description in RNAcentral is "partial 16S ribosomal RNA". It matches the Rfam family "Bacterial small subunit ribosomal RNA", at positions 354 to 796 of the family's 1533-position model. The record is from RNAcentral.